CAGGUUUCUUAGCCACAGGACUUUCAACUCUUAUCUCUUUCAAACAUGACAAUUUAUGCUGAUUGCAACAGGAGCUUGUUUCAGGUGGCUGCUUUAACUACAAGAGGAAGGUCUCUGCAGGAAAGAGAGAAGCUGUUGUCUGAGGGCCACUGGAGCUUUUGCAGAGCCUUCCUGAACUUCACUGUAUUUGCUAGAAGGACACAGGGAAUGCAGAGGGAUCCAGAUGCUGUUUUCUCUGGUGUGCAUGAAUGAGUCAUGGUGAUAGAAGAGCUCAAGGUCACUGCUGUGUAAGAUACUUGCACUUGAUAUGAAUGCUGCAUGCAGAUGUUUCUUGUCACUGUGAGCAAGACUCAACCCCCCUUGCAGAUGGUCCAAAAAAAAAAAAAAAAUAAAUUGAUCAUAUGUAUUCA
RNAcentral lists this long non-coding RNA (410 nucleotides) under Anas platyrhynchos platyrhynchos (common mallard). Its description in RNAcentral is "lncRNA (ENSAPLG00000020526.1)". The record is from RNAcentral. Lineage: Eukaryota; Metazoa; Chordata; Aves; Anseriformes; Anatidae.